RNAcentral lists this non-coding RNA (28 nucleotides) under Mus musculus (house mouse). The record is from RNAcentral. Lineage: Eukaryota; Metazoa; Chordata; Mammalia; Rodentia; Muridae.
UGUAGACUCCUUGACUUCAGAUUGUGAC